Molecule: ribosomal RNA, 619 nt
Filed under: Corymorpha nutans
Lineage: Eukaryota; Metazoa; Cnidaria; Hydrozoa; Anthoathecata; Corymorphidae
Description: partial 16S ribosomal RNA
Rfam family: Bacterial large subunit ribosomal RNA
Source: RNAcentral
UACCAAAAACAUAGCCCUUAAUAAUAUUAAAGGUGGUACCUGCCCUGUGAUAAAUAUAUAAAAAUUAUAAUCUAAUUUUAAUUUUAUUAAACGGAUGCGGUAACUCUGACUGUAGUAAAGUAGCAUAAUAAGUUGUCAUUUAAUUGAUGGAGAGUAUGAAUGGUAAAACGAGCUUCUCACUGUCUUAAGUAAAAGUUUUUUGAAAUUAAAUUAAUAGUGAAGAUUCUAUUUUAUAUCGUUAGACGAAAAGACCCUAUAGAGCUUUACUAUAUUUCUUUAUAAAAUUUAUAAAAUUUUUAUUAUUUAAUGAAGAAUUGGUAGUUUAGUUGGGGCGACUGUCUUUUAUAAUAAACAAAGAUAAGCAAAAUUAAUAAUUUAAUUUAUUGUAUAAUAAAUAAAUUUAACAAUUAUGAAAAUAGGCUAUAUUGACCCGUUAAUUUUUAUAAAAUUAAUUAACGAUUAAUUGAUAAAAGCUACCUUAGGGAUAACAGGAUAAUUUUGUUUUAGAGUUCAUAUCAAUUACAAAGUUUGUCACCUCUAUGUUGAAUUAAGAUAUCCUAAUAAUGCAGAAGUUAUUGAAGGUAGGUCUGUUCGACCUUUAAAAUCUUACAUGAUUUGA